RNAcentral lists this unclassified non-coding RNA (223 nucleotides) under Lophiostoma sp. Its description in RNAcentral is "partial internal transcribed spacer region". The stretch from base 1 to 46 matches the Rfam family "Eukaryotic small subunit ribosomal RNA", at positions 1786 to 1831 of the family's 1831-position model. Lineage: Eukaryota; Fungi; Ascomycota; Dothideomycetes; Pleosporales; Lophiostomataceae. The record is from RNAcentral. RNAcentral also lists the same sequence under 1 other name.
AAGUCGUAACAAGGUUUCCGUAGGUGAACCUGCGGAAGGAUCAUUAUUGUAGGUGCCUUCGGGCCCGCUAAAUCAAUAACCCUUGUCUUUUUUUGUGCACCCCUUGUUUCCUCGGCAGCUUUGCCUGCCAACGAGGACCCCCCAAAAACCUUUUGCAAUCCUAGUAUAACUAUCAGAAAACAAACAAUAAUUAAAACUUUCAACAAUGGAUCUCUUGGCUCUG